UUAUAAUAGUGAUUCUAUGUGACAACUAGUUAUCUGAGACAUUAAUUUUUGUAAUUCUGCUACCUCAAAUAGCAAAUAUGUCAAAUAACAAGCUGCACAUAGAUUGACAAGUGUAAUCAUUGAGUAUGAUAGUAUUGCUCGUUUUUAAACAUACUGCAAUAACACAGAUUAAAUGGAACCUUAUUCUAGCUCACAAGCCCAAUCAAUAUCUAAUCCCUUCAGACUCCUACCUUCAAAUCACCAUAAUCUCUCCUCCAUCACCAUGAGAAUAGAGAUAAAAAUCGCACCACUAGAGAAGGCCAUCACAGGGUGUUUUUGUGCUUCCAUACAACAUCUCCGCUCCUUUUAUGAGGACAUCGACCAUGAUAUGAAGAUAACAAGAUGGUUCUACUUUCACUCGUGGCCAGAAAGAGGUGGAGACGACAACGCUUCUUGCCAACACUGCCUCUCCC
Molecule: long non-coding RNA, 452 nt
Filed under: Olea europaea subsp. europaea
Lineage: Eukaryota; Viridiplantae; Streptophyta; Magnoliopsida; Lamiales; Oleaceae
Source: RNAcentral